CAGCCGCCGCGGGAAUACGUAGGGUGCAAGCGUUAAUCGGAAUUACUGGGCGUAAAGGGUGCGUAGGCGGGAUCUUAAGUCAGGGGUGAAAUCCCGAGGCUCAACCUCGGAACUGCCUUUGAUACUGGGGUCCUUGAGUCCGGAAGAGGUGAGUGGAACUGCGAGUGUAGAGAUGAAAUUCGUAGAUAUUCGCAAGAACACCGGUGGCGAAGGCGGCUCACUGGUCCGGAACUGACGCUGAGGCACGACAGCGUGGGGAGCAAACAGGAUUAGAUACCCCGGUAGUCCCUGUCUCUUAUAC
RNAcentral lists this ribosomal RNA (301 nucleotides) under uncultured bacterium. RNAcentral describes it as "partial 16S ribosomal RNA". It matches the Rfam family "Bacterial small subunit ribosomal RNA", at positions 509 to 807 of the family's 1533-position model. The record is from RNAcentral.